AGCAGCCGCGGUAAUUCCAGCUCCAAUAGCGUAUAUUAAAGUUGUUGCAGUUAAAAAGCUCGUAGUUGAAUUUCGGGGUUAGUAGGUCGGUCAUGCCACUGGUAUGUACUGGUCUCACUGAUUCCUCCUUCCUGAUGAACCGUAAUGCCAUUAAUUUGGUGUUGCGGGGAGACUGGGCUGUUACUUUGAAAAAAUUGAGUGUUUAAAGCAGGCUAACGCUUGAAUACAUUAGCAUGGAAUAAUGAAAUAGGACGUUCGAUCCUAUUUUGUUGGUUUCUAGGAUUGACGUAAUGAUUAAUAGGGAUAGUUGGGGGCAUUAGUAUUCAAUUGUCAGAGGUGAAAUUCUUGGAUUUAUUGAAGACUAACUACUGCGAAAGCAUUUGCCAAGGAUGUUUUCAUUAAUCAAGAACGAAAGUUAGGGAUCGAAGACGAUCAGAUACCGUCGUAGUCUUAACCAUAAACUAUAGCCGACUAGGGAUCGGAUGAUGUUAAUUUUUAUGACUCAUUCGGCGCCUUAAC
Molecule: ribosomal RNA, 519 nt
Filed under: uncultured Glomus
Lineage: Eukaryota; Fungi; Glomeromycota; Glomeromycetes; Glomerales; Glomeraceae
Description: SSU rRNA
Rfam family: Eukaryotic small subunit ribosomal RNA
Source: RNAcentral